RNAcentral lists this ribosomal RNA (240 nucleotides) under uncultured Lactobacillus sp. Its description in RNAcentral is "partial 16S ribosomal RNA". It matches the Rfam family "Bacterial small subunit ribosomal RNA", at positions 123 to 354 of the family's 1533-position model. The record is from RNAcentral. Lineage: Bacteria; Bacillati; Bacillota; Bacilli; Lactobacillales; Lactobacillaceae.
AACCGUGCCCAAGAGAUCGGGAUAACACCUGGAAACAGAUGCUAAUACCGGAUAACAACAGAUGAUGCCUAUCAACUGUUUAAAAGAUGGUUCUGCUAUCACUCUUGGAUGGACCUGCGGUGCAUUAGCUAGUUGGUAGGGUAACGGCCUACCAAGGCGAUGAUGCAUAGCCGAGUUGAGAGACUGAUCGGCCACAUUGGGACUGAGACACGGCCCAAACUCCUACGGGAGGCAGCAGGU